UACGGAGGAUGCGAGCGUUAUCCGGAUUUAUUGGGUUUAAAGGGUGCGUAGGCGGGCUUUUAAGUCAGCGGUAAAAAUUCGGGGCUCAACCCCGUCCGGCCGUCGAAACUGGGGGCCUUGAGUGGGCGAGAAGAAGGCGGAAUGCGUGGUGUAGCGGUGAAAUGCAUAGAUAUCACGCAGAACCCCGAUUGCGAAGGCAGCCUUCCGGCGCCCUACUGACGCUGAGGCACGAAAGUGCGGGGAUCGAACAGG
This 252-nucleotide ribosomal RNA is filed under the name uncultured bacterium. RNAcentral's name for it is "partial 16S ribosomal RNA". It matches the Rfam family "Bacterial small subunit ribosomal RNA", at positions 524 to 776 of the family's 1533-position model. The record is from RNAcentral.